Molecule: long non-coding RNA, 648 nt
Organism: Raphanus sativus (radish)
Lineage: Eukaryota; Viridiplantae; Streptophyta; Magnoliopsida; Brassicales; Brassicaceae
Exons: 3
Source: RefSeq, a predicted model, not a curated record
AAAUUGUUGCCGUUACCUGUGAUUAAAAGGAUGGUUGAUAAAGGGAUCCGAAACAAGAUCACUUUGGUGGAGAAGAAGGGAAUCAAAGGGUUGGAGAAGCUGAUGCAAUUUUAGUUCCAUACUAGAAUUUGAAGAUUGAAGAAAUCAAUGGAAUCACUAAGGAUUUUGUGGAGCUUGGGUUUCUCGCCCCGACCGGUCUAUUUCUCGGUGGAACCAAGUACAUGAUUAUUCAAGGUGAACCAGGAGCUGUGAUCCGAGGAAAGAAGGGACCUGGAGGCGUUACUAUCAAAAAGACGUCUCAAGCCUUGGUCAUUGGUAUCUAGGAGGAGCCCUUGACCGGAGGUCAAUGCAAUUUGGUUGUGGAAAGGCUCGAGGAUUAUCUCUUCGAUUCUGAUCUCUAAAUUUAUAUUUCUAACUUCUUUGACUAAAAGAAUCCCAUUGCCCUUUCCAUUGUAAUUGAUUGUAAUAACGCAAUUGAUUUUUAUGGUACUUAAGAACCAAAUAUAUUUGUUGUUGCAUGGUCUUCUUGUUCCGGGUUUGGGCUUGUGUGUCUUAGUCUUGUAAUGGCAUUUGAUAAUAUCUUUGUUGGUCAUAUGUAUUUAGGGGUUACUUUUAAGAAACUGCAGAAUAUGUUUAUGGUUCGGUAUA